This 258-nucleotide ribosomal RNA is filed under the name uncultured bacterium. Its description in RNAcentral is "partial 16S ribosomal RNA". It matches the Rfam family "Bacterial small subunit ribosomal RNA", at positions 524 to 776 of the family's 1533-position model. The record is from RNAcentral.
UACGUAGGGUGCAAGCGUUAUCCGGAAUUAUUGGGCGUAAAGAGCUCGUAGGCGGUUUGUCGCGUCUGCUGUGAAAAACUGGAGGCUCAACCUCCAGCCUGCAGUGGGUACGGGCAGACUAGAGUGCGGUAGGGGGAGACUGGAAUUCCUGGUGUAGCGGUGAAAUGCGCAGAUAUCAGGAGGAACACCGGUGGCGAAGGCGGGGUCUCUGGGGCCGAUACUGACGCUGAGGAGCGAAAGCGUGGGGGAGCGAACAGG